GCGGGCGACGCGGCGGGAUGGACCGGGAGCUGCUGCGGCAGGCGCUGAGCUACCACGGCCCCACGCUGCUCUCGCUGCUCCGCGCCGAGCAGCACGACAACCCCGACUUCCGCGGGCUGCUGCCGCCGCCGGGCGCCGCCGCCGAGCCGCCCCGCGGGGCCCCGCCCCCGCCGCCCGCCUGGAAAGAGCGGACAAACACCGACACCGAGAUACAGCGGCUCAUCGCCAGGAAGGCGGAUCUCCUUUUUGCUCAGUCGUGGAAACCCAACGGCCCUCUUUGCGACACGCUCGAAGAAAAUGAAGAGUAUUAUGCUGUUAUGCCUCCCCUGGAGCAGUUCAUGGAAGUUCCCAGGGAAGACAGGAGAGAACUGUUCUUUCAAGACAUUGAACGUGGCGACAUUGUGAUUGGGAGGAUUACUUCUAUUCGUGAAUUUGGCUUUUUCAUGGUGUUGAUUUGUCUGGGAAGUGGUGUCAUACGGGAGAUCUCGGAUUUAGAAAUCACUGCUCUUUGUCCAUUGAGAGAUGUGCCUUCUCAUAGCAACCAUGGAGAUCCUUUAUCUUAUUAUCAGACUGGAGACAUUAUUCGAGCUGCAGUCAAGGAUGUUGAUCGUUAUCACGAAAAACUCACAGUAUCGCUUUACAGCUCAGCUCUUCCACCCAAUCUUUGUAGUACAAAACUUGGAGUAAUUACCUCUGAUGAAUUUCCAUUACAUUACAGGCGAAGCAUGGAAGUUGCCAAUACGUUAGAUACGUACGAAGAAGUUUUGCAUCGUUCUCCAGGAUUUGCUAAUCCAUCAGUCGUUGAAUAUUUAGCAGAAAAGCUAGGGCUAAGUGAAUCAAACCCACCGUCUUUGAUGAGAGGUCUUCAAAUCAAAAAUUUCAGUGAUGAAGACUUUGCUCCUGCAUUGAGGAAAAGGCAGUCUGCAUCUUGGGCCUUGAAAUGUGUGAAGACUGGAGUUGAUUAUUUUAAGGUUGGGCGCCACGUGGAAGCUAUGAAUGAGUACAACAAGGCCUUGGAAAUAGACCCACAGAAUGUUGAAGCUUUGGUAGCCCGGGGAGCUCUGUAUGCAACAAAAGGAAGUCUAAACAAAGCCAUAGAUGAUUUUGAGAUUGCAUUAGAAAACUGUCCCACCCACAGAAAUGCAAGAAAAUACCUCUGUCAGACACUUGUGGAAAGAGGCGGGCAGUUGGAAGAGGAGGACAAACUACUAAAUGCUGAAAGUUACUAUAAAAAAGCUUUAAGUUUGGAUGAGACUUUUCAGGAAGCAGAAGAGGCCUUAACGAAACUCCGUAAGCACAUGCAGGUGAUUCUUUACUUUCUCUUCAUUUGAUUCUCUCAGUUACAAUAAAUGACCAUCAAAAAUCAUACUAAAUCUUUUAAAUGGAGAGUAAUAAGUCGCUGAUUAGUCUUAUUCUCUGCUUCCCCCCUCCACAGUAAAUCUUCUAUAGUAAGCAUUAUGGCUAUACCUACCAGAAGUAACGUACCUAUUGAUGACUUUAUUGUUCUGAACAGGAUAGUAAAGAAAUGCCCAGCAGUGAAAAAACAAAAGCAAUUAAACCCUAUCAGCCAACCCUGGAAUGAGAAUACUCCACCACCUAAGCAUGCUUAAUAAUGUUGAAUGAAAAUAUUUGGUGAAUAUAAACAUGCAAAGUAUAAACUCUUGGGCAAGCCGAAUAAACAUUGCAAGCCCUAUCAGCUGCAAGAUGGUUGUAAUUUGGAAUAAUCAGGAAAAAGGUACAAUAACAUGAGCCAAAGCUAACUUACAGGAAGAUCACAUGAGAGGGAAAAUUAAUAGCUGAUCAGUAUUUAAGAUUUAAAGGAAAACAGUAAGUGGAAGAGGUGGAGACACUCAAAAGAGUGUCUUGUUUUCUUCUGUGGUACGAGAGUUUUCACUUGUAUGUGUACUUCUGAACUAACUGUACUUUCGUGACUAUGUCACUGUGUCUUCACUUCCACACAGCGUAUUUCCCAAGUGAGCCAUGGUGGGUCACUAUGCUAAACUUUGUCUGUUGUUUUUUUUCUUUCAUUUAUCUCCCUUAUUUGUAUCGUCUUCUGAGGAUCGAGGAGUAAGUUCAAGGUCUGAAGCACAGGGUUGUUUUGCUUUAUGCUUCUGUGUUUAAGGAAAUAGACCUAGGUAGAUAUUAACAGGACUUAAUCAACACUUCUUUAGUUGGUGAAGCCAUAAUGCUCACGGGUUGUGUUGAAAGAAGGGGGAAGAGGAGAUGUAUGACAAUCCUUAAUGAAACAGAACUACACUCUGUAAAUACUGCACUGCAUGCUAUUGGAGCGCUAUCCCUAUUUGGCAAUAUAAAGAAAGAAGUAUGACUGUUUUAGAAAGAGGUCUCAAAGCCGUGGUUAAAAUGAUGAAUAUUCUCAGCAAGUAGGAGUUAAGAGUUUACUCUCCUUUAGAAUUAUUCUGGUAUAAUGGUCAUUCAUGCAGCAGCUACAAAACACCAUCGACUGAACUAUUGUUCAUUUGUUUGCAUAGCCUUAUCUGCAAUUAAGGAUUUCCUUUACUUUAUCUGUUAUGACACUUGCUAAGUAUUGAAAACCAUAAUCAGACUUUCUGCUCUGAAUAUGAAUAGAGCUGCUGUUUAGGGCUGUAGAUCACAGAAGUCUGUGAUCUUUAAAGGACUUAAAAGGACUUAAAUAAUGUAUCUUUAAGAAUUAUUUAUCUGUUAAUCAGAUGAUCUAUGGCACUUGCAUGUAUUUUAAUAUGCACAUGCAGUACUUUCAUACUGUUGUGCAAGAAUGGCUAAAACAUAAUUAAAAAUGUUUUCCUGUAAUACUGAUUAUGUGUUUUUCUCCAAUGCAUUUUCUUCUGAAUUGGACCGUUGUUGCUGUAUCUGACAUCUGGUGCUGCUCAUCACCAACAAACCCUUGGAACAUGAUUUCUUAUGUAAACUAUGCAUCAAACUGGUCUGUGAAAUUAUCUCAAAAUGGUUUGUAUUCAAACGUGGCCAAUUUGACUACACUACAAAAUGGGUUCUACCAUGGCUUAUUUGUAAACAACAAUAAUGAUGCUUUCCCUCAAACCCUUCUCUCUCUUCCUCUCUCUUUCUCUUGUUCUUUCUCUCCUUCCCCUUUCCCCCCUCAACCUGCUAACAUUGUUUUUCUUGCAUUUGCCAUCUGUAUCUUUUGGACUGCGUGCUUCAUGGUGUGCUGGAUCACGGGUACCACUGCAAUGGCUGGAAAAACUUAUCUUUUAAUGGGAUAAAAACUGCAAUAUGGUCCUUAAUGUAAACCUGAUUAUCACAACGGCCAAUGACAAACUCCUGAACAAUAUUAAUUCUUGAUCUGGGAAUCCUGAAAUCUUUGGAAAUGAGGGAGAAACAAGCUGCAAAAGAAGAGAGACAGAAAGAAAAGAAAAUAGAAACAAGUGCAGAA
This is an RNA transcript of Rhea pennata, 3388 nucleotides long. It is a transcript of the gene named tetratricopeptide repeat domain 14, with no coding region annotated. The record is from RefSeq and is a predicted model, not a curated record. The transcript is spliced from 11 exons. Lineage: Eukaryota; Metazoa; Chordata; Aves; Rheiformes; Rheidae.